GCCGGAUACGGUGGCGUGUGCCUGUAGACCCAGCUACUUGGGAGGCUGAGCCAGCUGGAUCACUUGAGCCCAGGAGUUCUGGGUUGCAGUGUGCUAUGCCGAGUGGGCGUCUGUGUUAAGUCGGCAUCAAUAUGGUGAGCCCUGGGGAGCUGGGGGGACACCAGGUUGACUAAGGAAGGGUGAACCGGCCCAGGUCAGAGAUGGAGCAGGUCAAAGCUCCCAUGCCGGUUAGUAGCGGGAUCACACCUGUCAAUAGCCACUGCAGCAUAGCCUAGGAAACAGAGAGAGACGUGGGCUCUU
This 300-nucleotide signal recognition particle RNA is filed under the name Pelecanus crispus (Dalmatian pelican). RNAcentral describes it as "Metazoan signal recognition particle RNA". It matches the Rfam family "Metazoan signal recognition particle RNA". Rfam says of the family: The signal recognition particle (SRP) is a universally conserved ribonucleoprotein. It is involved in the co-translational targeting of proteins to membranes. The eukaryotic SRP consists of a 300-nucleotide 7S RNA and six proteins: SRPs 72, 68, 54, 19, 14, and 9. Lineage: Eukaryota; Metazoa; Chordata; Aves; Pelecaniformes; Pelecanidae. The record is from Rfam by way of RNAcentral.